This 177-nucleotide ribosomal RNA is filed under the name Actinomycetota bacterium. RNAcentral's name for it is "partial 16S ribosomal RNA". It matches the Rfam family "Bacterial small subunit ribosomal RNA", at positions 1 to 176 of the family's 1533-position model. Lineage: Bacteria; Bacillati; Actinomycetota. The record is from RNAcentral.
UCAACGGAGAGUUUGAUCCUGGCUCAGGACGAACGCUGGCGGCGUGCCUAACACAUGCAAGUGGAGCGACGAACCGGGCUUCGGCCCGGGGCAAAGCCGCGAACGGGUGAGUAACACGUGGGUAACCUGCCCCGAUGAUUGGGACAACCCGAGGAAACUCGGGCUAAUACCAAAUGU